GGGCAGUAAUGUCACUGUCGUACGGGUGCGUAACGCGUAUGCAACCUACCUAUCACUGGGGGAUAGCCCGGGGAAACCCGGAUUAAUACCGCAUAAAACAGGGGCACCGCAUGGUGAUAUUUGUUAAAGAUUUAUUGGUGAUAGAUGGGCAUGCGUUCGAUUAGCUAGUUGGCGGGGUAACGGCCCACCAAGGCGACGAUCGAUAGGGGAGCUGAGAGGUUGAUCCCCCACACGGGCACUGAGAUACGGGCCCGACUCCUACGGGAGGCAGCAGUAGGGAAUAUUGGGCAAUGGAUGCAAGUCUGACCCAGCCAUGCCGCGUGCCGGAUGAAGGCCCUCAGGGUUGUAAACGGCUUUUAUUCGGGAAGAAGAGCAGGGAUGCGUCCUUGUGUGACGGUACCGAAUGAAUAAGCACCGGCUAACUCCGUGCCAGCAGCCGCGGUAAUACGGAGGGUGCGAGCGUUGUCCGGAUUUAUUGGGUUUAAAGGGUGCGUAGGUGGCUGUUUAAGUCAGUGGUGAAAUACGGUUGCUCAACAAUCGAGGUGCCAUUGAUACUGAAUAGCUUGAAAUAAUUGGAGGCUGCCGGAAUGGAUGGUGUAGCGGUGAAAUGCAUAGAUAUCAUCCAGAACACCGAUUGCGAAGGCAGGUGGCUACGAUUGGUUUGACACUGAGGCACGAAAGCAUGGGGAGCAAACAGGAUUAGAUACCCUGGUAGUCCAUGCUGUAAACGAUGAGGACUCGUUGUUUGACGGUAACGUUGAGCGACUU
Molecule: ribosomal RNA, 768 nt
Filed under: Dyadobacter jiangsuensis
Lineage: Bacteria; Pseudomonadati; Bacteroidota; Cytophagia; Cytophagales; Spirosomataceae
Description: bacterial SSU rRNA
Rfam family: Bacterial small subunit ribosomal RNA
Source: RNAcentral